ACUCAAAUGAAUUGACGGGGGCCCGCACAAGCGGUGGAGCAUGUGGUUUAAUUCGACGCAACGCGAAGAACCUUACCUGGGUUAGACAACGGUGGACCGCUUCAGAGAUGAAGCUUUCCCUUCGGGGACUGCCGGUUCAGGUGCUGCAUGGCUGUCGUCAGCUCGUGUCGUGAGAUGUUGGGUUAAGUCCCGCAACGAGCGCAACCCUUGUCUCUAGUUGCCAGCAUUUAGUUGGGCACUCUAGAGAGACUGCCGGCGUUAAGCCGGAGGAAGGUGGGGAUGACGUCAAGUCCUCAUGGCCCUUAUGCCCAGGGCUACACACGUGCUACAAUGGUCGGUACAGAGGGAUGCGAAGCCGCAAGGUGAAGCCAAUCCCACAAAGCCGGCCUCAGUUCGGAUUGGAGUCUGCAACUCGACUCCAUGAAGGUGGAAUCGCUAGUAAUCGCGGAUCAGCACGCCGCGGUGAAUACGUUCCCGGGCCUUGUACACACCGCCCGU
Molecule: ribosomal RNA, 498 nt
Filed under: uncultured bacterium
Lineage: Bacteria
Description: partial 16S ribosomal RNA
Rfam family: Bacterial small subunit ribosomal RNA
Source: RNAcentral